Molecule: ribosomal RNA, 326 nt
Filed under: uncultured eukaryote
Lineage: Eukaryota
Description: partial 18S ribosomal RNA
Rfam family: Eukaryotic small subunit ribosomal RNA
Source: RNAcentral
CCCUUAGAUGUUCUGGGCUGCACGCGCGCUACACUGAUGCGCUCAACGAGUUUACGACCUUGCCCGGAAGGGUUGGGUAAUCUUUUUAAAACGCAUCGUGAUGGGGAUAGAUUAUUGCAAUUAUUAAUCUUUAACGAGGAAUUCCUAGUAAGCGCGAGUCAUCAGCUCGUGCUGAUUACGUCCCUGCCCUUUGUACACACCGCCCGUCGCUCCUACCGAUUGAAUGAUCCGGUGAAUAAUUCGGACUGCAGCAGUGUUCAGUUCCUGAACGUUGCAGCGGAAAGUUUAGUGAACCUUAUCACUUAGAGGAAGGAGAAGUCGUAACA